RNAcentral lists this transfer RNA (74 nucleotides) under Marmota monax (woodchuck). RNAcentral's name for it is "tRNA.Val". Lineage: Eukaryota; Metazoa; Chordata; Mammalia; Rodentia; Sciuridae. The record is from RNAcentral.
UUUCUGUGCUCAAUGGUAGAGUGCUUGCCUAACAUGCAUGAGGCACUGGGUUUGAUCCUCAGCACCACAUAAAA